GAUGAACGCUGGCGGCGUGCUUAACACAUGCAAGUCGAACGGAAAGGCCGAAGCUUGCUUCGGUACUCGAGUGGCGAACGGGUGAGUAACACGUGGGUGAUCUGCCCUGUACUUCGGGAUAAGCUUGGGAAACUGGGUCUAAUACCGGAUAUGACGAUCUCUUGGAUGGGGUUGUGGAAAGCUUUUGCGGUAUGGGAUGAGCUCGCGGCCUAUCAGCUUGUUGGUGGGGUAAUGGCCUACCAAGGCGUCGACGGGUAGCCGGCCUGAGAGGGUGUAGGGCAACAUGGGGACAGGGUAACGGCCCAGACUCCGGGGGGGGGCGGGGGGGGGGAAUGUGGAAAAGGGGGGGAAGGCGUGAGGCGGGGAGGCGGGGGGGGGGAGGAGGGCUUGGGGGUGGAAAACUCCUGAGGAAAGGGAGGAAGCUGUUGGGGGAGGGUGGGUGGAAAAAAGACCCCGCCAAGCUAGGUG
RNAcentral lists this ribosomal RNA (468 nucleotides) under uncultured bacterium. Its description in RNAcentral is "partial 16S ribosomal RNA". The stretch from base 20 to 327 matches the Rfam family "Bacterial small subunit ribosomal RNA", at positions 47 to 358 of the family's 1533-position model. The record is from RNAcentral.